UUGGGGUAAGGGAGGUGCUGAUGUGGAGGCUGAGGCCAGGGGUAAGGAAGGUGCUGAUGUAGAGGCUGAGGCCAGGGGUAAGGGAGGUGCUGAUGUAGAGGCUGAGGCCAGGGGUAAGGGAGGUGCUGAGGUAGAUGGCCAGAGAUAAUGGUGACUCAGGCUGAAGCCACAGAGACAGACAGAGACAGAGAGGGGAUCAGUGAGACCAAUGGCCCUCCUGAUGGGUCCUGCCCUGCUGAAACAUUCAUGAAGCCUUAUGACCCUCUCUUUCUCUCAGUCUUCCCUCCCCCUCCUUCUCUCUCUAUCUCUCUCUUUCUCUCACUCUUGCGCGCUUUAUCGGUCUCUCUCUCUCUCUCAUCCUAUCUCUCUCUCUCUCUCUCCCUCUCUGUUUUCUCCUCUCUCGUUCCUAAUGUACCCUAACAAGACUUUAUGGCCUCUCUGGCCCUAGCCACACCUAAGGGGCCUUCCUGGCAUCUAACUCCUUAACACCCCCAUCUCUCCGCGCCCUACAGUACACACUCACUGCAUUUUUAAACAUGACGCCGGCCCAGUGUGAAGCAGCAUCAGCGCAUAUCUGACAUGAGUGUUGGGUGAGGAUGGACGAGGUUGGACGACCCAUAAGGGGUCAUUGGAACGGAAAAUCUUUUUCUCAUUUGUGUAUUGUGCUAUUUUUUUUACAGUGUGUAUAAAAUAAACAUAUUAAAUGCUAAAAGCUUAGCUAAAAAAAACGAAACUUUCUGUACUUCCUAAGUUUCUUUUUUUGCAUACCUCCCUGAUAUUGAUUGCUCUCUUUCGGUUCGGACAGCUUCACGGGUCAAAUGGAAUUUUUUUUUUUUUUUGCUGAGUUGGCUUUUCACUUCUCUCUUUGCCUCCCGCUCUUUCCCUUUCCUACACACGUGGACAGAGGAAUGCACAGUGGUGGAACCUGACCCUGCCGGCUACCAAUUGAUCUGUUAAUGUUUUUUCACUUAAAACGGUGCCCCCCCCCAUCCCCAUCCCCCCUCCCACACACACACACACAUUAAAUGUUUAAGCUUUGACAGCUGAUAUCAACAUCCGUGCCAUGCUUAAAGUGGGAGAGGAGGAGAGAGGUGAGGAUGGGAGGAGAGGAGAGGAGGUGACCUCAGGUUGUCAUUGGACAGAGGCGUGCUCACCACUGGACAUCAGGGAGAUCCUCCAUUACUCUGCCCCCGGAUGGGUGUCACUGAGCUUGAAGGGGGGAGGGGGGCAGGGGCAAGUGUCCCAGAGUGUGCCCCCCCCCCCCCCCCCCCCCCCUCGGGGAAGGCACCAAAGAGCGUGUUUGACUGGUCCCCAGCUCUGGUUCUGUGUUUACACUCACAUGUUAAAAAGGCCAUAUGCUCAAUGGGUAUGCGUUACGGUUUGGGUUUCGGAACUCCUUACCACCCCACCCCUGCACUACACACACCACACACACACACACAGAGACACACACACGC
This is a long non-coding RNA of Clupea harengus (Atlantic herring), 1457 nucleotides long. The record is from Ensembl. NCBI's taxonomy places the organism in Eukaryota, Metazoa, Chordata, Actinopteri, Clupeiformes, Clupeidae.